UACAGAGGUCUCAAGCGUUGUUCGGAUUCAUUGGGCGGAAAGGGUGCGUAGGUGGCGAGGUUAGUCAGGUGUGAAAUCUCGGGGCUCAACCCCGAAACUGCACUUGAUACUGCCUUGCUAGAGUACUGGAGAGGAGAUUGGAAUUUACGGUGUAGCAGUGAAAUGCGUAGAUAUCGUAAGGAAGACCAGUGGCGAAGGCGAAUCUCUGGACAGUUACUGACACUGAGGCACGAAGGCCAGGGGAGCAAACGGG
This 253-nucleotide ribosomal RNA is filed under the name uncultured bacterium. RNAcentral describes it as "partial 16S ribosomal RNA". It matches the Rfam family "Bacterial small subunit ribosomal RNA", at positions 524 to 776 of the family's 1533-position model. The record is from RNAcentral.